Molecule: ribosomal RNA, 618 nt
Filed under: uncultured organism
Description: bacterial SSU rRNA
Rfam family: Bacterial small subunit ribosomal RNA
Source: RNAcentral
AGAGUUUGAUCCUGGCUCAGGAUGAACGCUGGCGGCGUGCCUAAUACAUGCAAGUCGAGCGAUGAGGCUCCUUCGGGAGUACAUCAGCGGCGAACGGGUGAGUAACACGUGGGUGACUUGCCCCGAAGAUGGGGAUAACCUCUGGAAACGGGGGCUAAUACCCAAUGUGCUCGGUGAUUCGGUUCAUCGAGUAAAGCUCCGGCGCUUCGGGAGAGGCCUGCGGCCCAUCAGCUAGUUGGUAGGGUAACGGCCUACCAAGGCAGAGACGGGUAGGGGGCGUGAGAGCGCGGACCCCCACACUGGCACUGAGAUACGGGCCAGACUCCUACGGGAGGCAGCAGUAAGGGAUAUUGCGCAAUGGACGAAAGUCAGACGCAGCGACGCCGCGUGGGCGAUGAAGGCCUUCGGGUUGUAAAGCCCUUUUAUGGGGGAAGAGGAAAAGGACGGUACCCCAGGAAUAAGUCCCGGCUAACUACGUGCCAGCAGCCGCGGUAAAACGUAGGGGACAAGCGUUAUCCGGAUUCACUGGGCGUAAAGAGCGUUGAGGCGGUUCCGUAAGUUGGGCGUGAAAGCUCCGGGCUUAACUCGGAGAUGUCGUUCAAUACUGGCGGGGCUUGA